GUGGGGAAUAUUGGACAAUGGGCGAAAGCCUGAUCCAGCCAUGCCGCGUGAGUGAUGAAGGCCUUAGGGUUGUAAAGCUCUUUCAGUAGGGAAGAUAAUGACGGUACCUACAGAAGAAGCCCCGGCUAACUUCGUGCCAGCAGCCGCGGUAAUACGAAGGGGGCUAGCGUUGUUCGGAUUUACUGGGCGGAAAGCGCACGUAGGCGGAUUGGUCAGUUAGAGGUGAAAUCCUGGAGCUCAACUCCAGAACUGCCUUUAAUACUGCCAGUCUAGAGUCCAGAAGAGGUGAGUGGAACUCCUAGUGUAGAGGUGGAAUUCGUAGAUAUUAGGAAGAACACCAGUGGCGAAGGCGGCUCACUGGUCUGGUACUGACGCUGAGGUGCGAAAGCGUGGGGAGCAAACAGGAUUAGAUACCCCAGUAGUCC
This 425-nucleotide ribosomal RNA is filed under the name uncultured bacterium. RNAcentral's name for it is "partial 16S ribosomal RNA". It matches the Rfam family "Bacterial small subunit ribosomal RNA", at positions 354 to 796 of the family's 1533-position model. The record is from RNAcentral.